AGUGAACGCUGGCGGCAGGCCUAAUACAUGCAAGUCGAACGGCAGCACAGCAGAGCUUGCUCUGUGGGUGGCGAGUGGCGGACGGGUGAGGAAUACGUGGGAAUCUGCCCAGUCGUGGGGAUAACGUAGGGAAACUUACGCUAAUACCGCAUGCGCCCUUCGGGGAAAGCCGGGGACCUUCGGGCCUGGCGCGAUUGGAUGAGCCCACGUCGGAUUAGCUAGUUGGCGGGUAAAGCCCACCAAGGCGACGAUCCGUAGCUGGUCUGAGAGGAUGAUCAGCCACACUGGAACUGAGACACGGUCCAGACUCCUACGGGAGCAGCAGUAGGGAAUAUUGGACAAUGGGCGCAAGCCUGAUCCAGCCAUGCCGCGUGAGUGAAGAA
This 383-nucleotide ribosomal RNA is filed under the name uncultured bacterium. RNAcentral describes it as "bacterial SSU rRNA". It matches the Rfam family "Bacterial small subunit ribosomal RNA", at positions 29 to 412 of the family's 1533-position model. The record is from RNAcentral.